CGGUUAUCACUAACGAGUAGUCUAAGAUGCACAUUAAGUUCUGUCCUAUGUUUAUUUUAAUAUAGCUAUACUAACCUAACUAACCGUCCAUAGUGUUUUAAAGUGUUUUAAUGUAGCUAACCUAACCGACCACUUUUAAUAUUAGAAUUAAUUUUCCUGCGAAAAAAUAAAACAAAUCCCGAGAUUGGCCGAAGGUGAAUAUUCGGGCGUGUUCGGGCAGGGACAGAACUUGCUGUACAUUUUAGGCUUCUCGUUGUGCGAUAGUCGUUGUUUACAAUACAGACUGUCAUUCACUUAAAAUACUCAGAAUUUUGUACUUAAGUCCUCGCAGUACUGGAGGAUGGUUUUGAAUAAGUGAAUUUAUAAUAAUAGCUUUCAUUUACUAUGUUAUUGUCGUGUGUUUAUUUAUGUGAUAUCUUUAAAAUUGACAUAUUUUGAUUGUUCGCAUGGAUUCAAAAUAAAAUGGUUAUACCUUGAGGAUUUAAUUUCCAUUUUGUACAGGUUAAUUUUUUCGGCAUAGAAAACAUGGCGAGUAAAUACUCCAGGCAAAUGUUAAAAGUUGUAGUUGCGCAAAUUUGUCAGACGAUAGGAUGGCAUUCCAUUCAAGAAACACCGUUAGAUAUAUUGGUAGGAGUUCUUGACAGACACCUGGCAGACUUGUGCAAAGAAACCAGGAGGUACGCAGAACUGGCGGGGCGUACAGAAAUGUCAAUAUUUGACUUGCUGUGCACAUUUCAAGAUUUGAACGUCAGCUUACUGGAGCUGGAAGAUUACAUGAGGAAUGUAGAUCCAGUUCCGUGCGUUUUUCAAGUACCUCAGUAUCCUCUGCCAUGUGAAUCACACCUGAACUAUUUAAAGCCAGGCAGUAGGGAGGUUGUGACACGACCAGUGCACGUACAUGAGCAUUUGCCGCCCAUGUAUCCGGACAUGGAAGCAAGUGAAAGUGUCCCUUCAAAGCAGACUCCAUUAACUGUGGACACAAGUUCUGUGGGACCUAGCCCUUCAUCCCCUCUGAAUAGUCCUAAAACUAAUGUUUUCAAGAGGCCUGGGGACCCAAUAUUUGUGGAGAACCUAGCUGUGAAGCGUGCCAGGUUGAUUUUAGAAGAAGAAGGUCGUCCUCUUAGAGAGAUAAGCAGUGUAAUGAUGACUACAUCUGGUUUUCUAUCUCCAGCCAGGGAAGGCAAAUUGCCGGAGUCCCGCUCACCUCUCCAACCUUCAGACUCUCGUUCAAAUUCCCCACAGCCAUCAUCUUAUCCUAUGGUUCCACCAGAAGUCAAAGGAGAAAAGAAACCAAAGAAAAUUCCAGCAAAGAAAAGUCUUGAUGUCACAAAGAAGCCAGACAAGGAAAAUAAAAAGAAAGAGAGCAAAAUGAAAGAUUCGAACAAACUAGACAAGCAAAAUUUUGUACAACAAAAUGAUGAUUCAGAUGUAAAGAAGUUGGUGAGCAUGAAGGAGUUAUCAAAGCUCAAAGCUUUGAAGCCAGGAGCUUUGAAGAUGAGUGCUUCUCCAGAACCAUUAACAACAUUAAAGAUUCCAAAGAUUAUUGCAAAACCACCGCCACCAGCCAAAUCACCAGAAUGUAUGAAUUUUAAAGCAACUGUGCCAGUUGUGCCUAUAAAACCUUUUAAAAUAAUGGAUGCUCCUCAGGUAAUGCCUCCAACUGUUAGAACAAUUCCUGAAAAACCUUUAGCAAUGAUUGAAGGCAAAUUGUCUACAGAGCCUGACAAACAGAAGUUAAAUAUAUUUAAGAAAAUUUCAAAGGUGAAAGAAGAAAAAGUUGACAGAGCCGAUCAUUCUGAUACUCCAGCUAAAGAUUCUCGUGAAAGUUCACCCGGUUUAGUAAUUGAUGAGUGUGAGCUAAAUACUAAGCAACAUGAAGUUAGAAUGGCUCAGAUUGAUGACUGUAUAGAAUCAGUGAUACAGAUGAGUGUAGAGCUCAGUAACGUUACUAGUCCAAAAUUAGUUAAGCCCAAAAAAAAUUUCCCCGAAGUUGUUGAAGCCACAAAUAAUAAAGUUGAUAGUACUAUAAAUGAAGUUGUUUUAAACUGUGCACAAAAUUUGGUUGAUGAUGUAUGCUUAGUAGACGAUAAUUCCUCACCUCCUAGAUCCCCCACUGCUCCGAAAACCCCAGAACCAUCAUCUGUGCAGCGAAAAGUCGAGAAAUCACCAGAGGUAAAAGAGAAAACUAAAAAGAAAGAAAAAAUGAAAGCUAAGAAAGAACUUUUAAAGGAAGUGCUGAAGUGGCCAUUUGCCAUUCAAGAUGAAACACCGGAAGAUGUAAAAACAGAAGCUCUGGAUAGGCCGAAAACCCCUGAGCUUAAAAGUUCUGCUCCAUCAUCUGUAUUUCCAUUUUUAAAUUUCCCUCCAGGUCCUGGCCUUAUCCCUCCUCCAAUCCCGCACUCAUUGUUUCCAAGGUUUCCUCUGAACUUGAGCAGCAAGAACUUGCCCCAUCCUGCAAUGCCCAACUUACCUUUGCCACCACCUCACUUCAUGCAACCUCGCGAAGAUCUUGGUGAGGCCAAGGAGAAGGAAAAGCUAAGUGACAAACCUGUCACUUUCAUAAGCCCACCAAGCAUUUGUGUUCCAACUCCUCAGAGGCCUGGUAUAUUAGAUAAACCAGUGUUGAACAUAAUGUCACCAGUUAAGGAGAAAAGUGGCGAGAAGAAAAGUAAAGAACACAAGAAGGAAAAGAAAGAUAAAGAUAAAUCUAAAAAGAAGAAAGACAAAAAAGAAAAGAUUAAGAACAAAGAGAAAAGUGAUAAGAAAAAGUUGCGAUUAGAAAAAAAAGAAAGAGCUAGAGAGAAAAAGGAAAAGAAAAAGCUGAAAGAAAAGGAACGGAUCCUAAUGGAGGAGAAAUUUGAAACGUCUGUUCCAAAACUCACAUUACGGAUUGGACCGUCUUCUCCAAAGGCUUCUAGCAGUGCGCCUGACACACAACAAUGCAAAAUUGUCAUCAAACCCAUCGUGAAGAGGAGCAGUGAAGAAGAAGUUGAAAACUGUGCCCCUUCUCCACUCGUAAAUGUGGUCGCUGCCCAGACCCAGAAACGUGAACCUUCUCCAGAAUUGGCGAGAAUCUCAGCCCUAGUCACUCGGCCUCCCAAACUAAAAUCAUCAAGUAAGGCGUUGUUACCUAACCCAGAGACAACUCUGGUUCCUUCACCCAAUCUCUCUUCUAAAAACCUGCCCCAAGACUCUGAAGCUGGGUCCUCCCUCCCCUCUCCCCUAUCAUUUCCAGACAUGUUGUCACCAUCUCAGCCACCAGCACAAAUUGUAAAAGCGAAGAAGUUAGUGGCGAGACUUGUAACCAAAGAUAAUGACAACCCGACCGGACCUGUACCUGUAUCUCUACCUGAACCGGAGCCAUUGCCGGUUGCAUUUUACUAUGAUGAUGCAGGAAAUAAAGUGUGGAUUUGCCCAGCAUGUGGUGGUCACGAUGAUGGCAGUCCUAUGAUUGGCUGUGAUGACUGUGAUGCAUGGUAUCAUUGGGUCUGCGUGGGAAUACAAGUUCCGCCAGAUGAAAAUGAGGAUUGGUAUUGUAGAGUAUGCAUAGUCAAGAAGCAGGAGUACCUCGUAGAUAAGAAGAAGAAGUACCACAGAAAAAAGAAACAUCCAGUGUAAUGUGCUUUGACUAAUAUAAAAGGGCCGUGACGUAGCCCGUGUGUGGUGAGGCCCGUUUACCCUGUAUCACUGAAAACCUCCGAGAACGAGGACAUGUGCAUGAAGCUCCUUCCCUCGCAGCGCUCGCGACUCACUGACAGUUCGUCCUGGCUCGGCAACUCUCGGGAGCGGAGCACUGACGUCACAUUGGCAGGUUGAUACAUUGAAACACUUCAUAUUGCAGGCCGGUGUUGUCUGCAUAUUGAAGUAUAAGAGAUGGUGUCUACUGAUUAUACUUUGUCAUAUUAGGAGGAAAUAGUAGUGAUAUGAACUUUUGUUAAUUUUUUUAAUAUAUUAAUUGGUUAACAUUUUAUUCUGCCUGUUUGAAAAGAUCAGCACAGUCUUAGAAAUUCAGUCAAUUAUUCGCAGGAUCCAGGUUGUUAAAUUUCUUAGGUAAUAUAAGAGAUAAUGUACUCUUCAUUAAACUUUUCAUUUUGCAAUAUACUCAACUGGGUAUAUUUGUUAAAAUUAUAUAUUAUUAAUUUGUUCUUAAACUUGAUGCAAAGAAGAACUCUUUAGCUUAAAACAUUGAUAGAACAAUAUAAAGCAAUACAUAUACAUACAGAAAAACCUGUAUAAUACAACACUGCUUAAGAUAUUUUUCCACCUAAAAUGCCAGGAUAAUAUAGCACCAAAAGAGUAUUGUAUCAUUAAUCUAAACAUCCCUUUUUCUAUCCAAAAUUCUUUCCUAAUAGUGGCCGGAAUGCAUCCAAAUGUUAUAACACUGGUGUUGUAGUCAAAGCACUAUAACACAAUGGCACUAUAUUUUAUUUCCAGAUCGGUGGUCCGUAACAUAACACAAAUUUCAUGUACGUGAUGAAAACCGCAUAGUUUACAGCACUUUAAACUCAACAUAAAUAACAAUGACAUAAAAACUUUUAUAGCAACUAUCAAAAAUAUGAAUUAUACUCUGCUUUUAAAAUACAAUUAAUCAAAGCUCUCUCUCAAAGCAAUGGUGGAAAAAGUUGCGUGGAUGAAUGGAAAACGCAGAUUAUUGAAGUUAAAAUUCUUUGGGCCCGUUUGGAGUAAAUUUAAAGUUCAAAUUUUAGUGGGAGUAAAAUUUCAAGGUCAAAUUUUAGUGGGAGUAAAAUUUAAAGUUCAAAUUUUAGUGGGAGUAAAAUUUCAAAGUCAAAUUUUAGUGGGAGUAAAAUUUCAAGGUAAAAUUUUAGUGUAACGUUUUCGCGUCAGAAACAUUGUUGUGAAAUGUUUCUGACGCGAAAAGGACGGAGGAAAGGUUGCGGACGGUGCACAGAACUUGUCAGGCCCCGAUGCCUUGAGCGGAGCUCCAUGUAGUGGCAUGCAGCUCAGGUUUAACCCUGACAUGCUACAGGGAUAGGCGGGUCGCUGCGGUAAGGACCCGCCUGCUCCUGACGCCAUCCGACUUGCUGGCAUCUAGAAAGGGUGUAUUUAGGCAGAGGGCAACACAAUGGUUUUUGAGCUUAUUGUUGUGCACUGUGCCACAGGCAUAGUCACAACAAAAUGGUGUUAUUUCAAGUACGUAUUAUUUUAAUAACUUGCGUAAAUAAGUAUUGUUAAACAGUGUUGUAUAAGUAUUGUUUUAGCUGUGUAACUAAAUAUUUUUGAAGUGAAACUUCUUUGGGUGUAAUGAGAGUAAAAUUUCAAUGACAGUUUCAAAGCCGAAUUUUAGUGCAACAUUUUAGUGAAACAUUGUUUUGAACAUUUCUGACGCCAAAGAGAUAUAAAGAGAGCACUUAAGAAUCAAGGUUUGAAUUGCCAAACAAGUUUCACUUCUACCAUAUUACUGAGAUACAUGUGCUCUUUUUUACUACAUUUUCACCGUGAACAAUUAUUUGGGGUGCUUCUUUUUGCUUCGUCAAGCAUUCCUAAUGGAAAAAAAUGUCUACGACCAUGGACUACAACAGAACACACGGCCACUCUUUCACAAUAGACGUAUAAAUAUUUGAAUGCAAAAGUUGCCAUGUAAUAUAAAUUAGUAGCCACAAUUGAUCUAGUCAGUAUCGAUCAUGCGCAUAAUAGUAGCUUACUUGCCGCAUUUAUAUUAUUUAUUUAUUUUAUUUGUCACAUGCUCACCAACAGUUGGGGGACUUUCACCAAACAAACAUGACGCAAAUACAAAACAAACAUGAAUAAAUAUUCCGGAUUUGAGAGGAAUUUUUCAGUAAACAUGACUGUAAUAUUGCUGAACUAAAAUACAUUUUGCAUGGCCACCUUAACAAUUAAUACCGAAGAAUAACUAUGUUUGAAAAUUUAAAUGUGAGCUUUUUUUUUCCCUCAAUAUUUUGCAUACCUAGUUUUUGUUUAAAAAUAAAAGUGCAUGUACUUAUGUAUCCACAUUAGAAGUUAUACUUGGCAUAAUAAAAGAAUUAAUUUAAUAAUUUAUUAAAAUAAUUGAGAUGAAUUAAAAUUAUUACUGAAAAUCAAUAAAUAUGCUGGAUGUUUAUUCUAAUUUAUUAAUUUAAAUUAUUUAGUAAAUAAUAAUUUUAUAAUUUAUAAUGCUAAUAAACUACACAUACAAGAACAUAACCUCAAUUAUACAAAUCUACGUAAAAAAAAACUUGAAAAUGUUUAUAAACACAAUUUAAAUAACAAAUAUUCACAAUAAAUACAUUUUUAGUUAUACGGACCAGUAUUCAAUACCAGUCACUAAAUAUUUGAAUGUGACUCGCACGUAGUUCCGCACCCACAGCUGGAAUUUUUUACCAGAGCAGCUACUUCGACUAUCGAAUCGUUCACUUUGCGGAGCGAAAGGUUAAUAUCUCCGAUAAAAACGAAAAUGACUUGAAAAAAUACUAAUUCUCGGUUUGGACCUGAUUUCUUACAAGGAAUUUUAUUGAAAUACUGCCCAUCAUGUUAAAAUUCAAAAAGUUAAAGCUACAUAGUUUCCGCACACGUUAGAUGACUAUAAAUUAUUUAGUAUUAAAGUAAGUUAGUUGUACUAGUAUAAAGUUUUAUUUAUUAUUACCUAUGCAAAUUCAUAGAAACUCAUUUCCUAACAAAUGUAAUUAAUUUAAUACUACUUUAAGUAAAAAUGAGGUUAUAUGCUAGUUCCCCCUCGCGAGAUUUCUGCGUACUAACCCCGAAUUGGUUCCGCCGUUUCCCCGACAGAGUGCACUGUUUUCAGGGCACAAUUAACCUCCGAUGCCCCUUAAGUUAGGCUACCAGCCACCUUCAUUAUUUUUUUCUUUUGGUUGGCGGAGCGAACUCUCCGCGCUCUAUUUCCAACCAAUCAGAGACUUUUUCCCCCACUCCCUAAGCCUCCGGCCUCUGGCCCAAGUUUUAACUACAUGCAGCCCUAUAAAACGAGAGAUUCGCCCUCCUGUCGUCACUGCGGUAGCAUCUCUCCGGAUCUUAUCGCCCGCGACUUUAUUUACAAGCUAUCUCGUCACGACUAAAUUAAGAGAUGUGAUCCCUAAAGUUCGUGAGCAUUGCCAAAGUUUUUUUUUUCUAGUUGGUUAGUCGCCAUUAGUUCAGACUACUAGUUAAUUUCGUACCAUGUCUCACACCGGGCUACCGUGAGCACUCAUGCAGCCUUUUCUGACGGAGUGAUUUUCUCCAUUCCACCCCCAGAAUGUGGGGUCGAAGAGAUGGUGCUAGAUCGCAGGGUUUUCCCCGGCUUAAGUCCAUCCCGGAAGUCUACUAAAUUUACGCCUCUCCGUCUGGAAUGAAUGCUGUGAGUAUAUCCCGCUUCUAGUCACAGCCAGUGAACAGUCAUCGAUUAAAUAUUGUGAAAUCAAAUUAUAUAUAGUCCCACACUGGUUGGGCUAACAAACUUAAUUAUUUAUUAUUGGUUUUUUUGUAAAUUUGGGCAUGACUUGUCUUAAGUUGAUCAAAGGAAAAUGUUAAAUUUAUAUUUCAUGUACCAUCAAUAUCUGUUUGUAAUUGAUUUUUAUGGCCGACCCCCCCACCAUUAAUUCUGAUCAUUGUAAUUUUGUAAUUUCUAAAGAUUAUCAAAAGAUAAUAUUAAAAAUCAUAAUUCAAAAUAAAAAGGGUAAGCUUUAAACAAACUUCUUUUUUAUUUAUUACUUCAAAUUCGAUCUACUACUUCCUAUUAUGAGAAGUAAGUUAUUUUUUAUUGUUUCUCUCUUGUGUACCUCCGAGUAUACUGUUGUAUGUUUCGCCCACUUAAAACAGCUUCCAGGGCUUUUAUAACAAAAUUUAUAUAAAGUUUUCUUUAACCACACAAGGGCAGUAACAGCGCCGCUCGACGGUGCAGUCCACGGAGUAGUGCCCGGAUUGAGCGGGAUGCCAGCCAGGAGGAGCGUCAAAGUGGAGCUCACGCCCCACCUCGCCUCUCCACGCCUCACCUCGUGACGAGUCGCCUGUCCAGCUCCACUCUUGCAUUCAUAGGGGCUGACAGUCAUUUACAAGUACAAUAUUACCAUGCACCUCAGAAACAUGCAUUAUGCCCCUCAAUGAUUAACAAGAAAAAACACUAAAAGAUUUUACAAAAAAUGAUUAUACGGACGUAAAAAUCGCAGGGCAAAAUAAUAUUAUGAAUGAAUUAAUAAAUAAUUUGACUAUGUAACAGGCAAUGCAAGUCUCGCGAGGUCGAACAUGGCAGGUGGUACAGUGGAAUGGCAACCUGUACACACCUCAUACAAACAAGUAAAAAUUCGUGAAGCUAGGUUCUCGCACUGAGUACGACCAGGGCAAGAAACCAGAAUGCAAGAAAAUGAGUGGCUACAAUUUGAAAUUAAUUCCAAGCCCCAGCAAAAUUGCGAAAGACAAACCUACCUGCAAACGUGACCCACCUCGACAUGGCGUGCUACACAAGGUAAUAUUAUGGUGCAAUGCAGCAACAAGUUACACACCAUAAACAAAAAUAAUUUAACUAAAACAUGAAUUUAAAUGGUGUAGGCCGAAAACAAUAAUUUAGAAUAAGGAAGAAUAAUUGACAAUUGACGUUACGUUACGUGACAGAGCCACCAUCUGUCGCAAGUCAACUCUCAAAAAUUCCAACUUACUUGCCAUGUCUCGCCGUGCUUUCACGUUACAUUUGCACUAAGUUGAAAUUUGUGAAUCCACUUUAAGAAGUGAAACAAUGCCCUAAUUCAGUGACUGAACCAAAUGAAAUGACCCGAAGAAGAAGGAAGCAGGGCUCUCCGGAGCUUAAAUACAAGAGCCUAGAGCAUUCUGCGCAUGCGCAAGAACCUUGGAGGGUGGCCAGAAGCAAGGAAAAGGGGGUGGGGGGAAUGAUGACAACAUGUGUGAUAAGAAGUGUGACGAGGGGAAGUGAUGACCAUGCUGCGGCAUAUUAAAGCAGAGGCAGUGAAUUCAUUUCACUUUUUAAAGUUUAUUUACAUAAGUGAGGUUAUGUUCUCAUAUGUAUAGCGAUGUCAGGUUGCUUGUAAGUUUCCGUUGUCGCUGGCAGGGAGAGUCCGUGGAAGGUUUAUUAGUCUCCUGGCCGUUUUCAAGGGAGUGUUUGUGAGGUUAUCGUCCUGUAUGGAUAUUUUAUUUGCAUUUUAAAUUACAAAUUAUUAUAUUAUUAUUUAAUAAAUAUUUUAAAUUAGUAAAUUAGAACAAACAUUCAGCAUACUUAUUGAUUUUGAAUAUUAAUUAAAAUUUAGAUAGGUUAUUGUACUAAAUUAAAUAAUUAAUUAUAUACACGUGUUUAUACGAGGCAUGUUCCAAAAGUAAGUUUUGUAAUUUUUCUUCACAUGUAAACUUUAUUGCAAAAAAAAUACACAAUGGCACCAUGAACUAUACACCUUGCACUAUUUUUCGACUUAGUCGACACUGACAUUGAGACAUUUGUCGUAGCUUGCAAUCAGUUUGAAGAAACCACUGUGGUAAAACUCGGUGCCCUGUGAUGCAAGGAAUUGUCAUGCAGCCUGCUCCAUCUCAGUAUUGUUUUGGAAAUGGUGUCCCGAGAGUGCUUCUUUCAAUAUAGGGAACAGGUGAAAAUCAAAUGGGACAAGGUCAGAGCUGUAUGCCGGGUAAUCCAAUCUGCCACAUUGGUCCCUUAAAGGAGGAAAUCAAGGAGAAUCACAUCUUUCGAUCCCAGAACACUGUGGCCAUAACCUUUCCUGGUGAGGGUGACACGUUGAAUUUUUUCCCCACUGGUGAACUGGGAUGUUUCCACAUCAUUGAGGCGGCCUUGGUUUCUGAAGUAAAUUGGUGCACCCAUGUCUCAUCAACUGUGAUGAUCCUGAACAGGAACUCAUUUUCCUCUCACAUGUACCGCAUCAAUUGCUCGAGGCUGAUUUCCCAUUCUUGCACUCUUGUUAUCCAGGGUCAGGUUUCUCGCCACCCAUCUUGCAGACACUUUUUGGUAACCAAACACAUCAUAAAGCAUGUGAUGGGCCUGAGCACAACCAAUACGCAGUGUGGACGCCAUGUCUGACAAUGUUAUGCGCCUGUCUGCUAACACCAUGUCCUGUACUCUAGCAAUGUUGUUUUCAUUUGUGGAUGUGGAGGGACGUUCACUUCAACCUUCAUCCUCCACACUCUGCCUUCCUUCACUGAGCAUGCAGCACCUGCACGAGACAUGACCUCUUCACCGUACACAGUCUGUAGGCGUUCAUGAAUGACGGACACACUAGUCCCACGAGCCCAUUCAUACCGGACAACAGCACGUACUUCCAUUGGCGACCACGCUGUCAGUACAUGUCUGCCUGCCUCGAAUAACCUCGUGCACGCCGGUCUGCUGCUACUCUUUCUCUUCUUCGAGCCUCUGCGCAUGCGUCAUUCCCCGCUGCUGACACUACUUCUGUUGUUGAACCAGCAACGGCUGUAGAUUCUUGUGGUCAUUGUUUGUUUCACCUGGUGUACCAUCUGCUCUUUCAGAAAAAUGAUAAAACUUACUUUCAGAACAUCCCUCUUAUUAAUAUGAUAUCUGAGUAUUAAUUAAAAAAAUGUAAUUUGAUUACAUUACUUUACCAAACUAUUUAUAAUAUGAUUCCAGUUAUUUUAUUAUUUUAUUUCUCUUAUUUAUUUGGAUGCAAAAUUAAAGUUAGUUUUUUACUACACCAAUUAAGUAUAACUUCUAACACACAAACAUAAGUAUACUAAACCAUUUUUUUUUACUUUCCUCGUUAACAAGUUUUAUUUAGAAACAUCUGAAUAGUAGUAGUAGUAGUAGUAGUAGUAGUAGUAGUAGUAGUAUUAAUAGCUUAAUUAAAUUGAAUUCUUCCCCUCCUUCACAUUACAUUGAUACAUCCAUUCAUUUUGUAUUAUUAACUUGAAUUAAAAGGAGGUUAUUGGAAGUAGUCUACUUUAUAAUUUUGUGUAGAAUUUUUUAGGCCUGUAUCAAUUCUUGGGAGGCAUUCCCUUAAAAUGAAGGAUGAAAUAUUUUUUACAGCUCACGAGUUUGUGUAUUAUAUGCUUCGAUUGAAUAGGGUCUGGUGCCAGUACAUGAGAAAUGUGAUAUGUUUACUAAAUGCAAUAAAGUGUAUUUCUAACAACAAAUAAUGCAACAGUUAUCUCUCACAGUUUAGUUCAUAUGAAAAAAAAGUUUUUAAUACUAAACAGAGAUGUAGUAGAUACUAAAUGGAAAUGUAGUGUAUAUUGAACAGAGAUGAGCAACCUUUGGAAAUGGUAGAGUGAAUUAGAACUAUGUUUGUUAAGAAAAGGCAUAAACAUGCAAAAAAAUUUAAGAUCAGUGCAGAAUCAUGUGGUGUACUUUAAUUUCAUUUACUGGAUUAUUUUUAAUGUUUGAACAUUUCUAAAACAAACAGCUACAGUUUUCCAAGCCAUUAAUCCUUUUUACUUUUUUGGUUUAAGAGGAAAUGCAAGCAGGUUGUUGAGUUAAUGGUAAUUGCAACUGCUAAUUCAACAAAGCAGGCCCAAAGUUUCAGCCUUAAAUUUUCUAAAUGAAAUACUGUGCUCUGAUGCUCCAACAUCUUCCUGCAUUGUGUGACAUGCAUUUUGAACAGGUAGCCAAAGUUAAUGGCUGUUUUACAUGUUAUUUGCCUACACUUAGACACUAAAAUUAUCUUAUAAGUAAAAGUGUAGGGUCAUUUGUUUGAUGCCUUAUGUAACUAUUCCACAUUUCAUGACUAAAUAAAUAUAUAAGAGGAUUGAGAUGGUGCUGCAAAUGAGCAGGGACUCUACUCAAUGGUUGGUAAAAGUGUGUAUUCAAUCAGUGUAUUUAUUACUUUUGCUAGAGGUUUAUUCGUGAAAGAAAUGUAGCAUCAAUUGAACCAUUUGUUAAAACCCUUUGUAUUAAAUGAUUAAUUUUAAUUAUGUAUAUUUGAGCUUGGAAAUCAGUUGCAUUUUAUACUUUAAAAAGGAUAUUAAUAGUUGGUGACAUACAUGUUUGUUGGGUUUUUUUUAAGAAGAGUGACUUUUAUGGAAAACUGAAUUGCAUAGUAUUUUGAUUUUAUCUUGAUUGGUGAAUGAAAUAUAAUUUUGAUAAGUUUUAUAACUGAAUCAUAGGUAGGUAUAUUAGUAAAACAAAUGAAUUAACACAAUGAAUUAUCACUUAAUAUAUAUGGUAUAGCUAUCAAAUGGCAUGUUAGAUAAUAUUCUUAAAAUAUAUAAUAAAUAGUGAGGGAAGAAUACAAGCCUUAUUUAAGUCCGAAGCAAUUGUGAUAUUUUUAUAAAUGAGUGAUUUCGUUUGUUGAUAGCAAAAUUUGCUUGAGGUGUGAGAUUGCAAAUUAUUUUAGCUGAAAAAUUCAGCAGCAUUUAUGGAAUGGAUAUGUGUACUACAAACUUGUAUAUAAUACAUUCAAAUGAAAUUUAUUGUAUGAUAUAGAACUAGAGGUAUGGAUAAAACUAAACAAUGCACAUAUAGAUAAAAAAAAUUGUUUUUGGAAAAUCUACUUCCUCCUUUUUAUGUUUAUAUUAUAAUUCUUAUAGAACUGAGGUUGUGAUGAGUAUGUACAUAGUUAGUAAUUGCUUAUUUUUGGACAUGUCCUUAGUUUUGUUACACUGCAUGAUAAUCAAUGUAGCUACGUAUUUAAAUAUAGACUGUACCAACCCAGACCUUACCGGCUAGUUUUGGCCGGAAUUGCACAUAUAUAAAAACACUUGAAUUUGUUGGGUUCAAAAAUACUGUUCUAAUUUUGUUAAAAUGUUGCUGUAAAUUAUUUAUAAUGAAAAUAAAGUCUCUCGAGAACAAUGACUAAUCUUUGCUGCUUUUUAAUUAUCCUGGACUGAAUAUUCACAUUCGCACAAAGGCCACCAUGUUCCGAUCACAAGUCUCGUUGCAAGCCUAGCAUCGAUGACUGCAGUCAAAGCAUUCAAAAUAAAAAGUCCAAAAAUGUUUAUAAAUUGAUACCGUCCAGACCGCAGCCGCGGAAUUUGCUUCUCAUUAAUCAUCUCUGAGACCACUUCAAAUUACUCUGUGUUCACUAGGAUACUAGCAGAAUCAUUCUUAUGGAUGGCUCAUUUUAAAAAGUCAUCCAGUGUAAUUUUAUUUGUAUUUAUCAGUGUUUAGGUUUAUUGCCUAAGAAAAAGCAAAAUUUACUAAUAGAAAUGUUACAAAGAAAUUAAAACUAUUGUCAGUAUGUAAGCCAUUCAUACAUUUGACUUCCAUUAAAUGCAUGUUUGAUUUAAUAAAGAUUUACAAUGUACAGUAGAGUCCCACUAAUUCAAACUUAUUGGGACAUAAACAGAUUACCAUAUUUUUGGAUUCGCCAAAUAAUUGCUGUAAUACAAAAGUGUGUAUCAAAAUACAUCUCUAUAAGCAUUAAGUUAUCACUUAACAUAGCCUAUCUAGAGCUGGGCGAGAAAAUGUAGGCGGGAAAAUAUUUUCCGCUGAAAAUGGGACGGGAUCAGGAAUUGUUUGAGGUUACGAAUUUCAAAAAUUUCCAUACUAUUUCAAAGGCUUUUUUUUUUUAGACCCAAAUCUAGUAAUUAUACAAUGGUAGAGGCAGGUAAUUCUCAAGGACUGUAAAAUACCAUUAAAUAAGGCUAACCUUAUGUAAUUUUUUUAUAACCGAAAAAUUAAAACAAAAAGUUACUUGGCAAAAUAGUGACUAAAUUAGCAUAUUAUUACAUUUUUAACUCAAAUGACUCACUUAUGUUAUUUAUUUAUGAAAUAUUUAUUCAGAAAUAUUACAAACAUAUUUGAAUUUCUACUCUAUUCUAGCACUUUUAUUUACAUUUACAUUUGUUUAUGUUGCUUUCAAGGUGCAAGCCAAGUUGCAUCGUCUAUAGUGUCAUAGAUAAAUGCAUCGAGUAAGCUACUACUGUGUGAACAUGGUGGUAGAUUGAUCAUAACUAUUGUUAACAAAAAUUUUUGCACGUGGACAUGUAGAAUACAGGAAUAAAAUAGUGAAAUGGGUAAAAGAUACGUUCACAGUUUUUCGGGAAAAGCAGGAAUCCAGCUGCUCUACCUUAACACUUUUAAAUGCACAAAAUCGCUAAAAAAAAUGUUGGUAAUUGAGUCAAAUUGUCAAAAUAAUUUUUCAAAAUACAAAACAAUUGAAGUUAUUUGGUUUCUUUUCACCCUAAACUCAUUCUGAUUAGCCGGAUUUUCAGAUUAGCGGGGUUCAGAUUAGUGGAACUUCACUGUAUAUGUAGUCAUCAGUAUAUAUAUGCUGCAGAUACUUUUGGUCUUGUAAGACUAGUAAUAUGGUUUUAGUUCUGUGUGAGAUUUGUUACAUUACCACUUUUUACACAUGUUUGGUUAAUAAUAUAUUAAGAUGCCUAAACUUAAAUUUAGUUUCAUUAGUCAGGUAAUGGUGGCCUCUUUUUGGUAGCAACUAGCAGUUGGUAACAAAAUAUAAAAUAGUGCAAUACAACAUGUAUUUUUAUCUAGAGAAAAAAAAUGUAAAUAACAGUUAUAUAUUAUAAUUAGUUUUAUAAUGUAUGAUUUAUUGAUACAUAUCUCAUGGCUGAUAUUUUUGUAGCGAUUUUGAGUUGCUGUGGGCAAUGCUACCAAAUGGCACCAUGUUGUUCACCAGCCCCUCAAACUAAUGCUGUUUGAUUAGCGUAUUUUUUUUAGAAACAACGCCAAUUAAUUACGGCAUGAUUUGAAGUAGUGCAGUCAUAGAUUUGAAGUAGCCAUGUUUUCUUUUACAUGAAUUUUUAUUUUUGUGCACACACAAUGGCAAUGGCACUUGUGUAGCGUUAAAUACAAUGCAACAAAUUAAAAUUUUUACAAAUCAACAAAAUAUAUUUUGCUCUUUCUUUAAUAUCUAUUCAUUCGCUUCCUUCAUUGCGAAUUUAUGUUCGUUGACACUCGUAUGUCCAGCCAACGUUUAUAUUACGCCAUCGUGCAUGUCGGCUGCAGCUAUGGAGAGAAAAGUCAGAAGCUUUCAGGGCUAGUUUACCUCGUGCCUACUAGGCAGGCAGACACGCAUUUACUAAACGACAUGUUGAAUAAUCUUUCUAAUAAUUGAAAAUUUUCAGUUUAUGCUUUUUAAAUCUUAUUAGUACCCACUGAAAUAUAAAUGUACUCUGAUGGAAAGAAUUUAUUUGAUGAGUGUUGUUUUUAUUAGCACUCUGUUUUCUUGGAACAAACUAGAGCAUUACUUCGAGGGGCGGGUAUAUUGUCAAAUCAAUUGACAUAUUCCCAGAAUACGAUGAACGCUAAAUGCUUGGCAGAGUCUGUGACAUUAAUUAAAUGCUGGAAUUAAACUUAAACGAAAAUGAGUAGGCAUAGAUUGAAUAAAAAAAUCUAUAAUUAUUUAAUAUCUAACCAUAGAGAUUAUUUUGAUUCACUCUUUGUUCAAAAUUGUUAUAGUUCCAAAAUUAACUGUAUAUAUUUCCUCAAUAAUACUGGCCCAAAAAAAAUUCCUCAAUUUAAUAAUUGUUUACUUCAAACUUGUACUCUCCACAAUCAUAAAGACCCAUCUAUGGACUCAUCUUGAACAACAGUAAACAAAUCAUGAAAUCUAGAAGUGAAUUAAUUAUUCCACUUACUUCAUUCACAAGCCAAGUAAAUUUUAUUUAUUUAUUUAUUUUUUAAUUUUUAAUAUUUCAAAAUAUAUAAUAAUGUGUCAACAUUAAAUAGUUUCUAGUUGUGUUGAUAUAGUUAACGAAUCUUUAUUUUAAAUUUUAAGUUUUUGUAAAGAUUGUUGAUUAUUAAUGUUUUAAUUUAUCUGUCUUUAAAUGUUAUGUUCUUAUAUUCCAUUGUGUAUGUGUUGUGUUUCUGUUGUACUAGUCUUUUUUUGUUUUGGUCGCUGUAAGUAUCAGGUAUGCUUAACUUCAUGUGUUGGCCAACUGUAGAUGUGCCUACCUGCUGUGGUUUCGCCUCAGGUAAAGCUUGUCUACUUUGGUGCCGACGAGGGGGAGUGUCCAGGUACUAGCAGGGACCAAUUUUGUUCUUUUUUUGUUUUAUUCUUGUAUCUUUUAUUUUCUGUUUUUUACCUGUCUGUAUGUGUAGUUCCCACCACGAAAGCCCUAGGCUGGUGGUGGCCAUGUUACAAACAUAAAUAAAUAAAAAAUUCCUAACAAUCAUUUCAA
This is an RNA transcript of Bacillus rossius redtenbacheri, 15993 nucleotides long. It is a transcript of the gene named transcription initiation factor TFIID subunit 3, with no coding region annotated. Lineage: Eukaryota; Metazoa; Arthropoda; Insecta; Phasmatodea; Bacillidae. The record is from RefSeq and is a predicted model, not a curated record. The transcript has 11 exons.